RNAcentral lists this long non-coding RNA (290 nucleotides) under Populus tremula. RNAcentral describes it as "long non-coding RNA (PTRE_LNC001314)". The record is from RNAcentral. Lineage: Eukaryota; Viridiplantae; Streptophyta; Magnoliopsida; Malpighiales; Salicaceae.
AAACACUCUUUAACCCACAAUCUUUUUUUUUUCUUUAACCCACAAUCUUCAUCUUCUUGGUUGGUGCCCUUUCUUCUUUCAGCUCAUGCCUAAAACUUGCACUUGUGGGGUUCUAUUUGUCCACUCCCUUGUUUCUCUACGUAAUCAACUCAUUUUCCCCCUGAAUAAUAAAAUACCAUCAACUGAAUCCAAACCCCAAUAAAACCCAUUUCAUUUUUAUAGGUUACAAGCUUCAGGGGACCAUACACCUCUUCUUCAUUGCCACCUUCUCCCUCUACGCGAAUCCCCAU